RNAcentral lists this ribosomal RNA (502 nucleotides) under uncultured bacterium. RNAcentral describes it as "partial 16S ribosomal RNA". It matches the Rfam family "Bacterial small subunit ribosomal RNA", at positions 30 to 523 of the family's 1533-position model. The record is from RNAcentral.
AUUGAACGCUGGCGGCAGGCUUAACACAUGCAAGUCGAGCGGGGUGAUGGUGCUUGCACUAUCACUUAGCGGCGGACGGGUGAGUAAUGCUUAGGAAUCUGCCUAUUAGUGGGGGACAACAUCUCGAAAGGGAUGCUAAUACCGCAUACGUCCUACGGGAGAAAGCAGGGGAUCACUUGUGACCUUGCGCUAAUAGAUGAGCCUAAGUCGGAUUAGCUAGUUGGUGGGGUAAAGGCCUACCAAGGCGACGAUCUGUAGCGGGUCUGAGAGGAUGAGCCGCCACACUGGGACUGAGACACGGCCCAGACUCCUACGGGAGGCAGCAGUGGGGAAUAUUGGACAAUGGGGGGAACCCUGAUCCAGCCAUGCCGCGUGUGUGAAGAAGGCCUUAUGGUUGUAAAGCACUUUAAGCGAGGAGGAGGCUCUUUUGGUUAAUACCCAAGAUGAGUGACGUUACUCGCAGAAUAAGCACCGGCUAACUCUGUGCCAGCCGCCGCCGUAA